Molecule: long non-coding RNA, 1123 nt
Organism: Trichomycterus rosablanca
Lineage: Eukaryota; Metazoa; Chordata; Actinopteri; Siluriformes; Trichomycteridae
Exons: 3
Source: RefSeq, a predicted model, not a curated record
UGUGAAUAGUAGCGUGUUAGAAUAGUAGACAGACUUCCACCGCUUAUCAUUCACGUCAGCGAAAGGGAGAAAAGGACCCAGCGACGCCUCAGGCGCGGGGAGGAUGAGCUGAUUAGCUGAUUACUCCAAUGCUGGGUGUCUGAAUGGAGCAAAUCUUACAGAACUGUAGAAUUAAAGUGCUGCAGUGGAGGCUGAGAGACAGAACGACUGAGAAUGCUAGAAAGAGAAGUGAAUGGUACAAGGUCUUUAGUGAGCCAUGAAAAUCAGAGAGGAAAUGAGAGACACGUUGGCAGACAAAAGAAAAGAAAGAAAUACAAGAAAGAAAGAGUCAACCCAACACGGAAGGCAUCAAAUGCAUCAAAUACAUAAUCUGUCACCAUGCCAGCAAAAAUCAAAAGCUUCACUGAGCCCAGACUUUAAAUUACUCUCCUAGUCUCAUUUUUUCCAUCAUCUCCCUGAUCCCACUUCAUAACGAAAAUCAUAAACAGCAUCGAAGCCCUUAGGAAAUCAAACACAUGGAUGUAAACCUCCUCUAUGCCACCACUCAGAUAAGAUAAUGGAAUAAAACACCAGCACUGUGCUUUAACCUCACAGCUCGAUCUCAUUCCACCUGGAUUUAGUCAGGACCAAAGUGAAAAUGUAAGUGUAAAGGUUUGCAAUUUAAAAAAUAUUACAAGCCUCUUAAAAGCAAUAACCAAACGGCCACUGGAGACUAAAGAGAGGUCUAUUUUGGUAAGAGACAAUGAAGACGUCCAUCUACUGAAGGUGCACAAGAUUAAUGGAUUUGGUAAAGUAGAGGCUUAUUGUUGAGGUUAUAUGUGCUAACAGGUGGGCAUGUUAAGAUCCCUAAAUAUUUAUUGAUGUAUUAAUUAGGAUUUGAAGACCAUAUUUUACCUUUUGGUUCCAUCCAUGACAGGACAGGCAGUUACAGUUACCCAUGAUUCAUCAGUUAGAGUUUAGUUUCAAAAGCCAUUACAGCCAAUUUUGUAUCUCCAGUUCCACUGUGAGAAAACCCAUACAGAAAUGGGAGGACUUACAAACUCCACACAGACCUUCUCACUGUAAGGUGACAGUGCCACCCAACGAGCCACCAUGUCACCCUGGUCCCUAAACUAUAAUAAAC